Molecule: ribosomal RNA, 458 nt
Filed under: uncultured Sphaerochaeta sp.
Lineage: Bacteria; Pseudomonadati; Spirochaetota; Spirochaetia; Spirochaetales; Sphaerochaetaceae
Description: partial 16S ribosomal RNA
Rfam family: Bacterial small subunit ribosomal RNA
Source: RNAcentral
ACGGGAGGCAGCAGCUAAGAAUCUUCCGCAAUGGUCGAAAGACUGACGGAGCGACGCCGCGUGAAUGAUGAAGGCCGUAAGGUUGUAAAGUUCUUUUCUGGAGGGAGAAUAAGCCGAGUAGGGAAUGACUUGGUGAUGACGUGAAUCCAGGAAUAAGCCCCGGCUAACUACGUGCCAGCAGCCGCGGUAACACGUAGGGGGCGAGCGUUGUUCGGAAUUAUUGGGCGUAAAGGGCGCGCAGGCGGCUUGGCAAGUCUGCUGUUAAAUGGUUGAGCUCAACUCAAUCCAGCGGUGGAAACUACUAAGCUAGAGUUAACGAGGGGAUGCCGGAAUUCCAGGUGUAGGGGUGAAAUCUGUAGAUAUCUGGAAGAACACCAAUAGCGAAGGCAGGCAUCUAGCGACUAACUGACGCUGAGGCGCGAAGGUGCGGGGAGCAAACAGGAUUAGAUACCCUGGUA